Molecule: unclassified non-coding RNA, 342 nt
Filed under: Hevea brasiliensis (rubber tree)
Lineage: Eukaryota; Viridiplantae; Streptophyta; Magnoliopsida; Malpighiales; Euphorbiaceae
Source: RNAcentral
CGCGCAGUAAAGAGCCGCGGUUACCAAAUCUCUGAUUUUGAGCCUUCUCAGGGCGAUACCCCACAUCCGGGUAUCGCCCUGAAGCAUUUUGGGCGCUUGCCGGGAGAUCGGGGCGCGCCCGCGCCACAUCAAAAUCAUCAGUAAUAUCAACUACCUGGUGGCAGAUAGAUAAAAUUUGAAUCAAAUCCAAGUAUUUCAAAUUUUAGGCUCAUUUUAUUCAAGUAUAGAUCGAGUUAUCCGCAGCUUUUACUUGUAUUCGUCUCAAUUGUACUUCGACGACUUAGCCGCGGCGAAAAUCCUUUGUGUGAAAAGUGGUCCCAACAAGAAAAACGGGGGCCACAA